GGGGGCGUUAGGAUUCGACGGGGACGUGAAUCUUUAGAGUGCAUGCCGUGUGCCGUCAACACGAUAAAAGGCGGAAAAACACAAACGCAAACGACGAAUUUGCACUAGCAGCUUAAAGUUGCUACGCCUCUCCUGUAUAAGCCUGCGAUACGGAGAAGGCGUCAUAAUGCGGGCUGGCAUCUGAUUAGUACCCUGAAAUCAGAUGUAAGAUUCAAGGGAGUAGGGCUAAAAGAGCCUGUCUGACAGCGCUUUAAAACCCGAAAAUCAAUAGUCAGACUAAGCAUGUAGAGUUUAAAGUGUAGUGUUUUCGGACGCGGGUUCGAUUCCCGCCGCCUCCACCA
RNAcentral lists this transfer-messenger RNA (341 nucleotides) under Nitrospirota bacterium. RNAcentral's name for it is "Nitrospirae bacterium (sediment metagenome) transfer-messenger RNA". It matches the Rfam family "transfer-messenger RNA". Rfam says of the family: Bacterial tmRNA, also known as 10Sa RNA or SsrA, is named for its dual tRNA and mRNA-like properties. Its role is to liberate the mRNA from a stalled ribosome. RNAcentral also lists the same sequence under 2 other names. Lineage: Bacteria; Pseudomonadati; Nitrospirota. The record is from RNAcentral.